UACGUAGGGGGCUAGCGUUGUCCGGAUUUAUUGGGCGUAAAGAGCGUGUAGGCGGCCAAGUAGGUCCGUUGUGAAAACUGGAGGCUCAACCUUCAGAGGUCGACCGAAACCAUCUGGCUAGAGUCCGGGAGAGGAGAGUGGAAUUCCUGGUGUAGCGGUGAAAUGCGCAGAUAUCAGGAAGAACACCCGUGGCGAAAGCGGCUCUCUGGAACGGUACUGACGCUGAGACGCGAAAGCGUGGGGAGCGAACAGG
This 253-nucleotide ribosomal RNA is filed under the name uncultured bacterium. RNAcentral describes it as "partial 16S ribosomal RNA". It matches the Rfam family "Bacterial small subunit ribosomal RNA", at positions 524 to 776 of the family's 1533-position model. The record is from RNAcentral.